CCUACGGGGGGCAGCAGUGGGGAAUAUUGGACAAUGGGGGCAACCCUGAUCCAGCCAUGCCGCGUGUGUGAAGAAGGCCCUCGGGUUGUAAAGCACUUUCAGUGAGGAAGAACGCCUGGUGGUUAAUACCCAUCAGGAAAGACAUCACUCACAGAAGAAGCACCGGCUAACUCCAUGCCAGCAGCCGCGGUAAUACGGAGGGUGCGAGCGUUAAUCGGAAUUACUGGGCGUAAAGCGCGCGUAGGUGGCUUGAUAAGCCGGUUGUGAAAGCCCCGGGCUCAACCUGGGAACGGCAUCCGGAACUGUCAAGCUAGAGUGCAGGAGAGGAAGGUAGAAUUCCCGGUGUAGCGGUGAAAUGCGUAGAGAUCGGGAGGAAUACCAGUGGCGAAGGCGGCCUUCUGGACUGACACUGACACUGAGGUGCGAAAGCGUGGGUAGCAAACAGGAUUAGAUACCCCGGUAGUC
This 465-nucleotide ribosomal RNA is filed under the name Vreelandella stevensii. RNAcentral's name for it is "partial 16S ribosomal RNA". It matches the Rfam family "Bacterial small subunit ribosomal RNA", at positions 338 to 795 of the family's 1533-position model. The record is from RNAcentral. Lineage: Bacteria; Pseudomonadati; Pseudomonadota; Gammaproteobacteria; Oceanospirillales; Halomonadaceae.